GACGAACGCUGGCGGCGUGCUUAACACAUGCCAGUCGAACGGAAAGGCCCUGCUUUUGUGGGGUGCUCGAGUGGCGAACGGGUGAGUAACACGUGAGUAACCUGCCCUUGACUUUGGGAUAACUUCAGGAAACUGGGGCUAAUACCGGAUAGGAGCUCCUGCUGCAUGGUGGGGGUUGGAAAGUUUCGGCGGUUGGGGAUGGACUCGCGGCUUAUCAGCUUGUUGGUGGGGUAGUGGCUUACCAAGGCUUUGACGGGUAGCCGGCCUGAGAGGGUGACCGGCCACAUUGGGCCUGAGCUACGGCCCAGACUCCUACGGGAGGCAGCAGUGGGGAAUAUUGCACAAUGGGCGGAAGCCUGAUGCAGCAACGCCGCGUGCGGGAUGACGGCCUUCGGGUUGUAAACCGCUUUCGCCUGUGACGAAGCGUGAGUGACGGUAAUGGGUAAAGAAGCACCGGCUAACUACGUG
RNAcentral lists this ribosomal RNA (468 nucleotides) under uncultured bacterium. RNAcentral's name for it is "partial 16S ribosomal RNA". It matches the Rfam family "Bacterial small subunit ribosomal RNA", at positions 28 to 507 of the family's 1533-position model. The record is from RNAcentral.